This 492-nucleotide ribosomal RNA is filed under the name uncultured bacterium. Its description in RNAcentral is "partial 16S ribosomal RNA". It matches the Rfam family "Bacterial small subunit ribosomal RNA", at positions 29 to 507 of the family's 1533-position model. The record is from RNAcentral.
AGUGAACGCUGGCGGUAGGCCUAACACAUGCAAGUCGAACGGCAGCACAGUAAGAGCUUGCUCUUACGGGUGGCGAGUGGCGGACGGGUGAGGAAUACAUCGGAAUCUACUUUUUCGUGGGGGAUAACGUAGGGAAACUUACGCUAAUACCGCAUACGACCUACGGGUGAAAGCAGGGGAUCUUCGGACCUUGCGCGAUUGAAUGAGCCGAUGUCGGAUUAGCUAGUUGGCGGGGUAAAGGCCCACCAAGGCGACGAUCCGUAGCUGGUCUGAGAGGAUGAUCAGCCACACUGGGACGGAGACACGGCCCGGACUACGACGGGAGGCAGCAGUUGGGAAUUUUGGAGAAUGGGCGCAAGCCUGAUCCAGCCAUGCCCCGUGCAGGAUGAAGGCUUUCGGGUUGUAAACUGCUUUUGUACGGAACGAAAAGCAGUCUUUUAAUACAGGAGGGUCAUGACGGUACCGUAAGAAUAAGCACCGGCUAACUACGUG